Molecule: ribosomal RNA, 253 nt
Filed under: uncultured bacterium
Lineage: Bacteria
Description: partial 16S ribosomal RNA
Rfam family: Bacterial small subunit ribosomal RNA
Source: RNAcentral
UACGGGGGGGGCAAGCGUUGUUCGGAAUUACUGGGCGUAAAGGGUCCGUAGGUGGCCAACUAAGUCAGACGUGAAAUCCCUCAGCUUAACUGGGGAACUGCGUCUGAGACUGGAUGGCUCGAGUGCAGGAGAGGAAUGCGGAAUUCCAGGUGUAGCGGUGAAAUGCGUAGAUAUCUGGAGGAACACCGGUGGCGAAGGCGGCAUUCUGGACUGCAACUGACACUGAACGACGAAAGCCAGGGGAGCAAACAGG